UAGGCCUUGUGGAACUAGCCCACAGCCCCUGCAAAGCACCUAAAAGCCAUAUGGUUGCCAAAUAUUGUACAUCUAAUUAUACAAACAGAAGGUUCUUUUAACUGUCCUAGGAAGUCUGUGUUUCAUUUGUGUUCCCCACUAUUUCCAGGGUGAUCUUUUUCAAAUAUAACAUUAUCAUGACUAUCCCAUCCUAAAAACCUUCAACGGCUCUCAUUUGUCUAUAAGAUAAAACCAAGAUUCCUAAGAAGAAUUUCAAGACCCCUAAUGAUCCAGCUCUUACAUUUAUCUCCUUCUUCUUUUGUGUUUCUCUCCCCACCUCACCUACCUCCAUGCCACCAAUAGAUGGAAGCAAAAUGGAAGUGGUGGUGUUCCUUCCAACUCCCCGUGACCACCCCGUGUUGGCUCGGAGAUCAAAGGUCAGAGACACUGACUGCUAAUGGAAGAACUGCUACUUGAAAAGCACUAUCCGUCCAUUUUCUCAUCAGAUCCUCAACAACUCUACAAGUGAGAGCUGGUAUCUGCUCGGAGAAUCAGGUCAUGCAGACCCUGGACAAGCUCUAUUUAUUCCAGAGGAAGGAAGCAGAGGAAGAUUGCAUGGUGAAGUUGGAUUGCUGAGGCAAAUGAUUCUCUGUCACACGACCUGGAACAAAGGUUUGGGCCAGAAAUGGCCUAGGGAAUGGUGGGUCUGCUCAGUUCUGUCCCCUAAUUGCUUUUCUUCCCUUUGCUUUCAUGGCAUAUGUAUGUGAUUUCAUAGGUUUAACCAUCUGUUUAGUGCCUACAUUGGGCACAACAGGACUGUUAAUACUGGGUCGUAUAGGGUCAAAGCUGAUCCAUAAAACUUAAUGUUUGGCAUUUCUCAGUCUGUAUUUAGUUUCUUAACAUACCCUUAAAUUCACAAGAGUUUAUGUAUUGUUCCUUUCAUACCUUUACUUAUCAGCUGACUCUAAUACACUCAUGAGCUGAAGAGCCAAAGAGAAUUUGGAGUUCUGGGGGAGGUGCCCAACUGCUUUUGUCAUUAAUACAGGAAUUAGCAUUUGUUAGACACAUACAAAAUUCCAGGCACUGUGCUGCUGGGCUUAAAAUCUUCUCUCACUUAAUCCCUACAGUAUUCCUGUUGGUGGAUGACACAAUCCUUGUUUAAGAGAGAAAAAAGCCAGGACCCAGAGAGGCAAAGUAACUUGCCCAAGCACACACAGCUUGCUGAGUGAGAGAGUGGGGAUUUGACACCAGUUUAAUGUGAUGGUGGGCCCAUGAUCCUGGGCCGUACUGCUUCCCAAGAGCGCUAUCUUAAGUUUACGUGACCUCUUCAUCUUUAGGCUGGGUAGGCAAGUAGAAUUUCUGCUAACUUCAGUCAGUUAGUAGUAAGUGUCUGGAAUGCUGCUUUGAGAGAGAUCCUUGUUGGGAUCUGUGGUCACUUAACAGUGUCUGCCGUGUGUGCUUGGGGGAGAACGAGCAUCCCCUGGCCUUCUCCUCAGGUUGCCAGGAGACACAGCCCACCUCCUGGCAGAAUUGUGCCUGUGUGAAAUUUGUAUUGGGUGGUAAUGUGUAUCAACAAGUAGCCUGAUGCUUAGAAGUUGGUAGCAUUGUAUGGUUCACAACCGGUCGGGAAGAAACUUUGGCAAAAAGAACACUUUGCCCUCACCACUCUGGACAAACUAUCAAGUUGUAGUCAAUCAGCACUUCAGGGGCUCAUUCUGGGAGGAAGAACACACCUGAAGGUACCCUGGAAAUACCUAGGGUAUCACA
Molecule: long non-coding RNA, 1746 nt
Filed under: Felis catus (domestic cat)
Lineage: Eukaryota; Metazoa; Chordata; Mammalia; Carnivora; Felidae
Description: lncRNA (ENSFCAG00000047619.1)
Source: RNAcentral